This is a long non-coding RNA of Episyrphus balteatus (marmalade hoverfly), 575 nucleotides long. RefSeq lists it as uncharacterized. NCBI's taxonomy places the organism in Eukaryota, Metazoa, Arthropoda, Insecta, Diptera, Syrphidae. The transcript has 3 exons. The record is from RefSeq and is a predicted model, not a curated record.
GCAAGGAUACUAUUCUUCAGCCUUCGUGAUGUCCUCGCUAGCCAAGUCAUGUAUGAGAUAAUUUAAGGAUUCUUUGUGGUCAUCACAAAACGUUCAUCUUAAGUGGCAAUUACUGCUUUUCUCUGCUUUCAGCCCCUUCCGUUGUCCAUCUCUUUCGUGCUCCUAAAAAUAUGCAAUGUCAGUAAAAUAUUGAAAAUUUCUCACCGCUAUCAUUUCUGUCAUCGACUACAACAGUCGGUCAUUGAAGUCAGGUACCUAUGACCACCAUAACCGUAACAUAGACGACGACAACGAUAACUUUCGAGGACGAUUCCAAGAAAGAAGACCAACAGGGACGAAAUAAAUACAAUUGAUCUUUCAAACAACCAAGGGCGUCUGCGGCCAACCGGAAGAUUCUCACAGGACCUCCUCGCUCAGUCGAAUCGUUCUCAUUUUCCCUCUCGGGCUCGUGGUCCCUUGCAUCCUGUUUCCAGCACGUUUCGGAAAUUUUCAUUUCAUUUCCAUCGAAUUCAACGACGACAACGCCAACGACAGACGUCCAUCGAUGAUGAUGAUGAUGAUAGCUAGAGCUAGCA